Molecule: non-coding RNA, 28 nt
Filed under: Rattus norvegicus (Norway rat)
Lineage: Eukaryota; Metazoa; Chordata; Mammalia; Rodentia; Muridae
Source: RNAcentral
UGAUGAUUCCCACAGGCAGCAAAAGCCU